Molecule: long non-coding RNA, 2454 nt
Organism: Bombyx mori (domestic silkworm)
Lineage: Eukaryota; Metazoa; Arthropoda; Insecta; Lepidoptera; Bombycidae
Exons: 4
Source: RefSeq, a predicted model, not a curated record
UGAUACUGUGAAAAUGGUUUCAUAUGUUUUGAAUUCUUGAAGUAACACCUUUUAUCGCGACAAAAAUCUAGCCCACCAAAACCCGCAGCUGUAUCACGUAUUUCGCAAACAAUUAGCAGAAGACAAAUAUUGUGCAAAUAUUGCUGUCAACUGUCCAUUUCGUAUUACGGACUUACAACAAAAAAGCAGAUCGCGGACCAUCACUAGUGCUGCCUCUGCAGAGCGAUUUGUGAAACUUUAGUGCAUUCUUUUCCAUACAACUAACAACAACUGGCCUAAAGUCGGUAUUACGGAUGCUUUUGUGUGCCACACAACAGCAGAUAUUUAGCAAUUUCGUUUGUCAAAUUUGCGACACCUUUUGUAUCUGGUGCUGAAUUGUUGCUAACUAUCUGCAAGUGUAAAAUUUGUGAAAUUAAAUUAUUUUAACGUGAUUUAGGUAUGUACUAUGGACAGAGCUCAAAUAAUAAAUGGGGCUUUGGAGUCUAAGGAAAUUAGGUCGGAUACAUACGAAUUAGUGCGUAUGCGUGUCUGUCUUCGUGAUCAAGCCUGACCCCUUAAUCUAUCGGAAAGUUUGUUCAGAACACAUUACAGAAUUUCGAAACAUCAAUAUUUACAAUUGUGCUCUGAAUUAAAGCCGUUAAUAACCUAGAUCAUCAAGACGAACAAGAAUAGAAAGUAAAAUGCAAGGUGUUAACAGCAUUGCAAAAUUUCAUACCAGAAACCUGUGGGAAUGAGCUUUUUGCAUUUUGAGUUAAACUGUAGCAAAUCCAAUGCCAUUAGGGAAGUGGCUAUGGCAUUAAACAAUCUUCCAGUUUUAUUGAAACAUUUAAAGUUUCUGCAAACAGUACAAUGGGUCACAAGUUAUUAUAAAUGGGUUUUACAAUAAAUUUGGCUAUCCUGGGGUUUUGGGGUGUAUAUAUGGCACUCAUUUGCACUUAUCAGAUCUUCUGUAUAUGAAGAAAGGUUUUAGAACGCAAGCAUUAUCAUUUCAAGAAUGUGCAAAUACUAAGUAUUUUGCUGAAGCCUAUCAUUCACAAUAACAAACAUUUGAUAGUACUUAUCUAAAGAAUUAAAUUUUUCAGAUCUGUGAUAGUGAUCUUAACAUUUUAAGUAUUGAUGCAACAUUUCAUGAUACAUUUGUCUGGCUUAUCACAACUGAAUAUGCCUAUGCAGGACCUGCACCAUAAUAGUGAAAAAGUUUUGUUUUUUAGGCAAGUAAAACAUCAUGAGCUCUGUCUCAGUAACCUGACUACAAAGUAAUACUCAAUCUAAAAGUAUAUUUAAAACUGGGAAGGCCGUUAAUAUAUAGUACUAUAGUAAUGUUUAUUGUCAUACCAGGAACACUGUUGACCAUUGUGAGUAUUGAAGGCCAGUUGGAGAUGCUUGUUGGUACAUACAGUACUGCAUUAUGAUCAUCAUAUGAUGGCCAAGACCAUAAUUGUUAGCUUGUAUUGCAUAACAUGGCAAACACACAUGGGUUUCCAGUGCCCCAACUCUCUGACGAAGAUGCUGAAAUUGAUGUUUCUUAUCAAAUUCAUAACAUUGUAUUUUUUGGGAGAGAAGAGUAAACACAGCACUUAGCACCAUGUCAACAUUCAAGGGUGGUUCAAUUGGAUUGUGGAGAACAGACAUUAAAUUUAGUCCAACCUCUGUAUUCUAGUAAUUUUAUGUAGAUAUUUUUAAAACUGCUGUUCUUAAUUAUGUGAACUGAGAGGGCAAGAAUAGCCUAAUUAUUUCUGCCUAUAAUUUUUUAUUUGUGUUUAGUGGAAAUAUACAUAUUUCCUUAACAUUUUUGUGUUUAUAGUAAAGGAUGGAUUCAUAACAAUUUGAAAGCAAAAUUGUGAGGUUGUUUUAUUAAGACGAUGUUUUAAAUCUGUCAUGCUCAAUUUGUUCUGUAUCAUUUUAUCUUUAUGUUAACCCCGUUUGUAUGUUGUGUUGUUAUAUAUAUUAUUGUAUAUACUGCUGUUUUAAAUAAUAGAAUAGAAUGAAUAACAAAUCGACUAGUAAUUCAUAAUUCUUCUAGAUUUUGUUGGAUACUUACAUGAAUAUUACUUACAAAAUGAAAAACAUAAUUCAUAAUUUAGACAAAAUGUGGAUCAACCACCACUCAUUUUUGUUCAUUGUGAUAAUAAUAAUAAUAAUAAUAUAAAUAUAAAUAUUUAACUGGUCCCGUGAUAAGUUCGUAAAGAACUUGUGUUACAGGUACAAGAUAACGGAAAUAAAUGUAGGAUUUUUAUUAUACACAUACAUAUAUUUAAUAUACAUCCAUAACCCUGGAAAAGACAUUUAUAUUUAUCAUACAAAUAUCUUCCCUUGGCGGGAUUCGAACCCGCGACCCCCUUGUGUAGCGACCAUGUCACUUACCACUACACCAGACGGCCGUUAGAUAAGUUUGAUAAUUAUUAUUUUUGUGUAAUUUUGUUUUAUUUGAAUAAUAAUUCUUAAAUUAGGAAA